AAAUUGAAGAGUUUGAUCAUGGCUCAGAUUGAACGCUGGCGGCAGGCCUAACACAUGCAAGUCGAGCGGUAGCACAGAGAGCUUGCUCUCGGGUGACGAGCGGCGGACGGGUGAGUAAUGUCUGGGAAACUGCCUGAUGGAGGGGGAUAACUACUGGAAACGGUAGCUAAUACCGCAUAACGUCGCAAGACCAAAGUGGGGGACCUUCGGGCCUCAUGCCAUCAGAUGUGCCCAGAUGGGAUUAGCUGGUAGGUGGGGUAACGGCUCACCUAGGCGACGAUCCCUAGCUGGUCUGAGAGGAUGACCAGCCACACUGGAACUGAGACACGGUCCAGACUCCUACGGGAGGCAGCAGUGGGGAAUAUUGCACAAUGGGCGCAAGCCUGAUGCAGCCAUGCCGCGUGUGUGAAGAAGGCCUUCGGGUUGUAAAGCACUUUCAGCGGGGAGGAAGGCGGUGAGGUUAAUAACCUCACCGAUUGACGUUACCCGCAGAAGAAGCACCGGCUAACUCCGUGCCAGCAGCCGCGGUAAUACGGAGGGUGCAAGCGUUAAUCGGAAUUACUGGGCGUAAAGCGCACGCAGGCGGUCUGUCAAGUCGGAUGUGAAAUCCCCGGGCUCAACCUGGGAACUGCAUUCGAAACUGGCAGGCUAGAGUCUUGUAGAGGGGGUAGAAUUCCAGGUGUAGCGGUGAAAUGCGUAGAGAUCUGGAGGAAUACCGGUGGCGAAGGCGGCCCCCUGGACAAAGACUGACGCUCAGGUGCGAAAGCGUGGGGAGCAAACAGGAUUAGAUACCCUGGUAGUCCACGCUGUAAACGAUGUCGAUUUGGAGGUUGUGCCCUUGAGGCGUGGCUUCCGGAGCUAACGCGUUAAAUCGACCGCCUGGGGAGUACGGCCGCAAGGUUAAAACUCAAAUGAAUUGACGGGGGCCCGCACAAGCGGUGGAGCAUGUGGUUUAAUUCGAUGCAACGCGAAGAACCUUACCUGGUCUUGACAUCCACAGAACUUUCCAGAGAUGGAUUGGUGCCUUCGGGAACUGUGAGACAGGUGCUGCAUGGCUGUCGUCAGCUCGUGUUGUGAAAUGUUGGGUUAAGUCCCGCAACGAGCGCAACCCUUAUCCUUUGUUGCCAGCGGUUAGGCCGGGAACUCAAAGGAGACUGCCAGUGAUAAACUGGAGGAAGGUGGGGAUGACGUCAAGUCAUCAUGGCCCUUACGACCAGGGCUACACACGUGCUACAAUGGCAUAUACAAAGAGAAGCGACCUCGCGAGAGCAAGCGGACCUCAUAAAGUAUGUCGUAGUCCGGAUUGGAGUCUGCAACUCGACUCCAUGAAGUCGGAAUCGCUAGUAAUCGUAGAUCAGAAUGCUACGGUGAAUACGUUCCCGGGCCUUGUACACACCGCCCGUCACACCAUGGGAGUGGGUUGCAAAAGAAGUAGGUAGCUUAACCUUCGGGAGGGCGCUUACCACUUUGUGAUUCAUGACUGGGGUGAAGUCGUAACAAGGUAACCGUAGGGGAACCUGCGGUUGGAUCACCUCCUUA
RNAcentral lists this ribosomal RNA (1539 nucleotides) under Klebsiella variicola. Its description in RNAcentral is "bacterial SSU rRNA". It matches the Rfam family "Bacterial small subunit ribosomal RNA". Lineage: Bacteria; Pseudomonadati; Pseudomonadota; Gammaproteobacteria; Enterobacterales; Enterobacteriaceae. The record is from RNAcentral.